RNAcentral lists this ribosomal RNA (404 nucleotides) under uncultured bacterium. RNAcentral's name for it is "bacterial SSU rRNA". It matches the Rfam family "Bacterial small subunit ribosomal RNA", at positions 355 to 776 of the family's 1533-position model. The record is from RNAcentral.
UGGGGAAUAUUGGACAAUGGGGGAAACCCUGAUCCAGCAAUGCCGCGUGAAUGAAGAAGGCCUUAGGGUUGUAAAGUUCUUUCACCUGUGAAGAUUAUGACGGUAGCAGGAGAAGAAGCCCCGGCUAACUCCGUGCCAGCAGCCGCGGUAAGACGGAGGGGGCUAGCGUUGUUCGGAAUGACUGGGUGUAAAGGGCGCGUAGGCGGUUUUUUAAGUGAGGCGUGAAAGCCCUGGGCUCAACCCAGGAUGUGCGUUUCAUACUGGAAGACUUGAGUGCGAGAGAGGAAAGUGGAAUUUCUAGUGUAGAGGUGAAAUUCGUAGAUAUUAGAAAGAACACCAGGGGCGAAGGCGGCUUUCUGGCUCGUAACUGACGCUGAGGCGCGAAAGCGUGGGGAGCAAACAGG